This 332-nucleotide ribosomal RNA is filed under the name uncultured eukaryote. RNAcentral describes it as "partial 18S ribosomal RNA". It matches the Rfam family "Eukaryotic small subunit ribosomal RNA", at positions 1470 to 1796 of the family's 1831-position model. The record is from RNAcentral.
CCCUUAGAUGUCCUGGGCUGCACGCGCGCUACACUGGAAGUUACGGAUUGAGAUACUACCUUGUCCGAAAUGGUCCGGGUAAUCACCCAAAAGCUUGUCAUAAUUGGAAUGGAUUAUUGUAACUAGUAAUCCUGAACGAGGAAUUCCUAGUAAGUCCCAGUCAACAGCUGGUACUGAUUACGUCCCUGCCCUUUGUACACACCGCCCGUCGCUACUACUGAUUGGACGUUUAAGCAAGAUUUUUAAACACUGACAGUGUGUAGUUCACGCUAUACUACAGUGAGAAGAAGAAGAUCGAGCUUACUUGUCUAGAGGAAGUAAAAGUCGUAACA